CAGUAGCCGCGGUAACACGGAGGGCGCGAGCGUUACCCGGAUUUACUGGGCGUAAAGGGCGUGUAGGCGGCCUGGGGCGUCCCAUGUGAAAGGCCACGGCUCAACCGUGGAGGAGCGUGGGAUACGCUCAGGCUAGAGGGUGGGAGAGGGUGGUGGAAUUCCCGGAGUAGCGGUGAAAUGCGCAGAUACCGGGAGGAACGCCGAUGGCGAAGGCAGCCACCUGGUCCACUUCUGACGCUGAGGCGCGAAAGCGUGGGGAGCAAACCGGAUUAGAUACCCGCGUAGUCCCUGUCUCUUAUAC
Molecule: ribosomal RNA, 301 nt
Filed under: uncultured bacterium
Lineage: Bacteria
Description: partial 16S ribosomal RNA
Rfam family: Bacterial small subunit ribosomal RNA
Source: RNAcentral